GAUGAACGCUGGCGGCGUGCCUAACACAUGCAAGUCGAACGAAGAGGCCUCUUCGGAGGUACUUCAGUGGCGGACGGGUGAGUAACACGUAGGUGACCUACCCCGAAGUGGGGAAUAACAGUCCGAAAGGAUUGCUAAUACCCCAUGUGAUCGAUGAGGUUAGAGUCUUGUCGAUUAAAGCAGUAAUGUGCUUCGGGAGGGGCCUGCGCCCCAUCAGCUAGUUGGUAGGGUAAUGGCCUACCAAGGCUACAACGGGUAGGGGGCCUGAGAGGGUGACCCCCCACAUUGGCACUGACACACGGGCCAAACUCCUACGGGUGGCAG
This 324-nucleotide ribosomal RNA is filed under the name uncultured Chloroflexota bacterium. RNAcentral describes it as "bacterial SSU rRNA". It matches the Rfam family "Bacterial small subunit ribosomal RNA", at positions 28 to 351 of the family's 1533-position model. The record is from RNAcentral. Lineage: Bacteria; Bacillati; Chloroflexota.